Molecule: ribosomal RNA, 707 nt
Filed under: Escherichia coli
Lineage: Bacteria; Pseudomonadati; Pseudomonadota; Gammaproteobacteria; Enterobacterales; Enterobacteriaceae
Description: bacterial SSU rRNA
Rfam family: Bacterial small subunit ribosomal RNA
Source: RNAcentral
GUGUUUCGCUGACGAGUGGCGGACGGGUGGGUAAUGUCGGGGAAACGGGGUGAGUGAGGGGGGAUAACUACUGGAAACGGUAGCUAAUACCGCAUAACGUCGCAAGACCAAAGAGGGGGACCUUCGGGCCUCUUGCCAUCGGAUGUGCCCAGAUGGGAUUAGCUAGUAGGUGGGGUAACGGCUCACCUAGGCGACGAUCCCUAGCUGGUCUGAGAGGAUGACCAGCCACACUGGAACUGAGACACGGUCCAGACUCCUACGGGAGGCAGCAGUGGGGAAUAUUGCACAAUGGGCGCAAGCCUGAUGCAGCCAUGCCGCGUGUAUGAAGAAGGCCUUCGGGUUGUAAAGUACUUUCAGCGGGGAGGAAGGGAGUAAAGUUAAUACCUUUGCUCAUUGACGUUACCCGCAGAAGAAGCACCGGCUAACUCCGUGCCAGCAGCCGCGGUAAUACGGAGGGUGCAAGCGUUAAUCGGAAUUACUGGGCGUAAAGCGCACGCAGGCGGUUUGUUAAGUCAGAUGUGAAAUCCCCGGGCUCAACCUGGGAACUGCAUCUGAUACUGGCAAGCUUGAGUCUCGUAGAGGGGGGUAGAAUUCCAGGUGUAGCGGUGAAAUGCGUAGAGAUCUGGAGGAAUACCGGUGGCGAAGGCGGCCCCCUGGACGAAGACUGACGCUCAGGUGCGAAAGCGUGGGGAGCAAACAGGAUUAGA